CCUACUGGUGGCAGCAGUGAGGAAUAUUGGUCACUGGGCGCGAGCCUGAACCAGCCAAGUCGCGUGAGGGAUGACGGUCCUACGGAUUGUAAACCUCUUUUGCCGGGGAGCAAGCGUGCGUUCGUGAACGCGCGUCGAGAGUACCCGGAAAAAAAGCAACGGCUAACUCCGUGCCAGCAGCCGCGGUAAUUCGGAGGAUGCGAGCGUUAUCCGGAUUUAUUGGGUGUAAAGGGGGCGUAGGCGGGAUGCGAACUCAGCGGUAAAACUGCGGUGCUCAACGCCGUCGAGCAGUUGAUACUGGCGUUCUUGAGUGGGCGAGAGGUGUGCGGAAUGCGUGGUGUAGCGGUGAAAUGCAUAGAUA
RNAcentral lists this ribosomal RNA (361 nucleotides) under uncultured bacterium. RNAcentral describes it as "partial 16S ribosomal RNA". It matches the Rfam family "Bacterial small subunit ribosomal RNA", at positions 338 to 696 of the family's 1533-position model. The record is from RNAcentral.